This 1372-nucleotide ribosomal RNA is filed under the name uncultured bacterium. RNAcentral describes it as "bacterial SSU rRNA". It matches the Rfam family "Bacterial small subunit ribosomal RNA", at positions 28 to 1381 of the family's 1533-position model. The record is from RNAcentral.
GAUGAACGCUGGCGGCGUGCCUAAUACAUGCAAGUCGAGCGAACGGACGAGAAGCUUGCUUCUCUGAUGUUAGCGGCGGACGGGUGAGUAACACGUGGAUAACCUACCUAUAAGACUGGGAUAACUUCGGGAAACCGGAGCUAAUACCGGAUAAUAUUUUGAACCGCAUGGUUCAAAAGUGAAAGACGGUCUUGCUGUCACUUAUAGAUGGAUCCGCGCUGCAUUAGCUAGUUGGUAAGGUAACGGCUUACCAAGGCAACGAUGCAUAGCCGACCUGAGAGGGUGAUCGGCCACACUGGAACUGAGACACGGUCCAGACUCCUACGGGAGGCAGCAGUAGGGAAUCUUCCGCAAUGGGCGAAAGCCUGACGGAGCAACGCCGCGUGAGUGAUGAAGGUCUUCGGAUCGUAAAACUCUGUUAUUAGGGAAGAACAUAUGUGUAAGUAACUGUGCACAUCUUGACGGUACCUAAUCAGAAAGCCACGGCUAACUACGUGCCAGCAGCCGCGGUAAUACGUAGGUGGCAAGCGUUAUCCGGAAUUAUUGGGCGUAAAGCGCGCGUAGGCGGUUUUUUAAGUCUGAUGUGAAAGCCCACGGCUCAACCGUGGAGGGUCAUUGGAAACUGGAAAACUUGAGUGCAGAAGAGGAAAGUGGAAUUCCAUGUGUAGCGGUGAAAUGCGCAGAGAUAUGGAGGAACACCAGUGGCGAAGGCGACUUUCUGGUCUGUAACUGACGCUGAUGUGCGAAAGCGUGGGGAUCAAACAGGAUUAGAUACCCUGGUAGUCCACGCCGUAAACGAUGAGUGCUAAAUGUUAGGGGGUUUCCGCCCCUUAGUGCUGCAGCUAACGCAUUAAGCACUCCGCCUGGGGAGUACGACCGCAAGGUUGAAACUCAAAGGAAUUGACGGGGACCCGCACAAGCGGUGGAGCAUGUGGUUUAAUUCGAAGCAACGCGAAGAACCUUACCAAAUCUUGACAUCCUUUGACAACUCUAGAGAUAGAGCUUUCCCCUUCGGGGGACAAAGUGACAGGUGGUGCAUGGUUGUCGUCAGCUCGUGUCGUGAGAUGUUGGGUUAAGUCCCGCAACGAGCGCAACCCUUAAGCUUAGUUGCCAUCAUUAAGUUGGGCACUCUAAGUUGACUGCCGGUGACAAACCGGAGGAAGGUGGGGAUGACGUCAAAUCAUCAUGCCCCUUAUGAUUUGGGCUACACACGUGCUACAAUGGACAAUACAAAGGGCAGCGAAACCGCGAGGUCAAGCAAAUCCCAUAAAGUUGUUCUCAGUUCGGAUUGUAGUCUGCAACUCGACUACAUGAAGCUGGAAUCGCUAGUAAUCGUAGAUCAGCAUGCUACGGUGAAUACGUUCCCGGGUCU